AUUGAACGCUGGCGGCAGGCCUAACACAUGCAAGUCGGGCGGAUGAAGGGAGCUUGCUCCUGGAUUCAGCGGCGGACGGGUGAGUAAUGCCUAGGAAUCUGCCUGGUAGUGGGGGAUAACGUCCGGAAACGGGCGCUAAUACCGCAUACGUCCUGAGGGAGAAAGUGGGGGAUCUUCGGACCUCACGCUAUCAGAUGAGCCUAGGUCGGAUUAGCUAGUUGGUGGGGUAAAGGCCUACCAAGGCGACGAUCCGUAACUGGUCUGAGAGGAUGAUCAGUCACACUGGAACUGAGACACGGUCCAGACUCCUACGGGAGGCAGCAGUGGGGAAUAUUGGACAAUGGGCGAAAGCCUGAUCCAGCCAUGCCGCGUGUGUGAAGAAGGUCUUCGGAUUGUAAAGCACUUUAAGUUGAGAGGAAGGGCAGUAAGUUAAUACCUUGCUGUUUUGACGUUACCAACAGAAUAAGCACCGGCUAACUUCGUG
Molecule: ribosomal RNA, 484 nt
Filed under: uncultured bacterium
Lineage: Bacteria
Description: partial 16S ribosomal RNA
Rfam family: Bacterial small subunit ribosomal RNA
Source: RNAcentral